CAUACUUAGGCCGUGUUCACAUUGACCUAAACUCGGUGUUGUGUAAGUGUAACUUACACGUAAACUAAACAAAAUUACGUUCCCAUUGAUAAAACUCAAUGUUUACAUGUAGUGUAAAUCAUGUUUUGUCUACAUGCAGUCGAUACUCGAUGUAGGCCUUGUGUAGAUUAAGUGUACACAAAACUAGGCAUUUAAAACAUUAGUUUCACCGUGCAUAUUUAAGG
RNAcentral lists this long non-coding RNA (224 nucleotides) under Mytilus galloprovincialis (Mediterranean mussel). The record is from RNAcentral. Lineage: Eukaryota; Metazoa; Mollusca; Bivalvia; Mytilida; Mytilidae.